RNAcentral lists this ribosomal RNA (819 nucleotides) under uncultured crenarchaeote. RNAcentral's name for it is "bacterial SSU rRNA". It matches the Rfam family "Archaeal small subunit ribosomal RNA", at positions 50 to 876 of the family's 1478-position model. The record is from RNAcentral. Lineage: Archaea; Thermoproteati; Thermoproteota.
CAUGCGAGUCAACGCCGCAAGGCGUGGCAUACGGCUCAGUAACACGUAGUCAACAUGCCCAAAGGACGUGGAUAACCUCGGGAAACUGAGGAUAAACCGCGAUAGGCCAAGGUUUCUGGAAUGAGCCAUGGCCGAAAUCUACAUGGCCUUUGGAUUGGACUGCGGCCGAUCAGGCUGUUGGUGAGGUAAUGGCCCACCAAACCUGUAACCGGUACGGGCUUUGAGAGAAGGAGCCCGGAGAUGGGCACUGAGACAAGGGCCCAGGCCCUAUGGGGCGCAGCAGGCGCGAAACCUCUGCAAUAGGCGAAAGCUUGACAGGGUUACUCUGAGUGAUGCCCGCUAAGGGUAUCUUUUGGCACCUCUAAAAAUGGUGCAGAAUAAGGGGUGGGCGAGUCUGGUGUCAGCCGCCGCGGUAAUACCAGCACCCCGAGUUGUCGGGACGAUUAUUGGGCCUAAAGCAUCCGUAGCCUGUUCUGCAAGUCCUCCGUUAAAUCCACCUGCUUAACGGAUGGGCUGCGGGGGAUACUGCAGAGCUAGGAGGCGGGAGAGGCAAACGGUACUCAGUGGGUAGGGGUAAAAUCCUUUGAUCUACUGAAGACCACCAGUGGCGAAGGCGGUUUGCCAGAACGCGCUCGACGGUGAGGGAUGAAAGCUGGGGGAGCAAACCGGAUUAGAUACCCGGGUAGUCCCAGCUGUAAACGAUGCAGACUCGGUGAAUGGGUUGGCCUCGAGCCAACCCAGUGCCGCAGGGAAGCCGUUAAGUCUGCCGCCUGGGGAGUACGGUCGCAAGACUGAAACUUAAAGGAAUUGGCGGGGGAG